RNAcentral lists this ribosomal RNA (368 nucleotides) under uncultured phototrophic eukaryote. Its description in RNAcentral is "SSU rRNA". It matches the Rfam family "Bacterial small subunit ribosomal RNA", at positions 524 to 896 of the family's 1533-position model. The record is from RNAcentral.
UACGGGGGAUGCAAGCGUUAUCCGGAUUUAUUGGGCGUAAAGCGCCUGUAGGUUGUUUAAUAAGUCUGUUGUUAAAGACUAGGGCUUAACCCCAGGAAAGCAAUGGAAACUACUAGACUUGAGUAUGAUAGGGGUAGAGGGAAUUUCUAGUGUAGCGGUGAAAUGCGUAGAUAUUAGAAAGAACACCAGUGGCGAAAGCGCUCUACUGGACCAUUACUGACACUCAGAGGCGAAAGCUAGGGUAGCAAAAGGGAUUAGAUACCCCUGUAGUCCUAGCCGUAAACGAUGGAUACUAGAUGUUGUGCUUUUGUACAGUAUCCUAGCUAACGCGUUAAGUAUCCCGCCUGGGGAGUACGCUCGCAAGGGUG